AUGUUUUUCACCAAGCCAUCUUACAAAAGCCUGCUUGAUAGGUCAGCCAUCCUGGUCUGUACCGUGGUCUCUCCUAACCUUGUGAGUGCUCAGAUCACUUGGCUUGUGGACAACAAGCCCAGCACAGAUGCUGCGAAUGAGAUGGUGACGAUGGACACUUAUGGAAGUCAGAUGUUGAGAAGCAACCACUCAGUGUCUUUGGAGCAGUGGACCAAGGGCACCAUCUUCACCUGUAAAGUAAGCGGGAGCUGCUUUGAAGAACACCAAAAGGACAUCACCCUCAAGAAGGCUACUCAUCAAGUAAAAACUCCUGCCAUCCUUCCACUUUGGCCCUGCUGUAGUUCCAUCAAGGAAGAUACUAGUAUGGUAACUUUUACUUGCCUGCUUAUUGAACAUGGCACACAGUCUUUGAAAAUCACGUGGGAACCUGAUAAUCCAGAAACACAAAAGGAGUGGACUGGAAUGGUAGGGGAAAGCAGUAAACUGGAACGGUACACAACAAGCCAACUCACCGUCUCUUCCUCCAGCUCCUCCAAACAUCAAUACAAAUGCUUUGUAAAAGAUAAGAAUGAUCUUCCCCCGGUACUCUUCACAAACAAACAUUGCUUUUUGCAACCUCUGAAACCGGUUGAUGUUCAGAUCUUAACCCCCAGUUGUGGCAUACAAAACUCAGUGGUCAAUGUGGAGCUGGUCUGCUUCCUGAGGAGCCUGAGUGGUGGAAAAGCCGAGGUGGAAUGGCUGAAGAAUGGAGUACAGGUGCAAGAGAAAGAAGAGGUGGUAUUGAGAUCCGUUGUAGGGAAGGGCAGUGGUUACUCCAGUUUCACCCAACUGAACAUCAGCAGAGAGAGUUGGGACAAAGGGGACCUCUACACCUGUAAAGUGACGCGCCCGCCAGGCAGUCAAAACAUCACAAUGCACAAUGCCAGCAAAUGUCAAGGUGAGUGUUACCACCCUGAAGUAUCAAGAGCUUAUGGGCUAUAG
Non-coding RNA from Thamnophis sirtalis, 981 nucleotides. NCBI's taxonomy places the organism in Eukaryota, Metazoa, Chordata, Lepidosauria, Squamata, Natricidae. The record is from the annotation of a RefSeq genome assembly.